GACGGAACCAGCCAUGCCGCGUGCAGGAAGACGGCGUUCUGCGUUGUAAACUGCUUUUAUACGGGAAGAAAAGGCCCAUGCGUGGGACAUUGCCGGUACCGUAUGAAUAAGCACCGGCUAACUCCGUGCCAGCAGCCGCGGUAAUACGGAGGGUGCGAGCGUUGUCCGGAUUUAUUGGGUUUAAAGGGUGCGUAGGCGGCCAUUUAAGUCAGCGGUGAAAGUCUGUGGCUCAACCAUGGAACUGCCGUUGAUACUGGGUGGCUUGAGUGUUGGUGGGGUACAUGGAAUUUAUGGUGUAGCGGUGAAAUGCAUAGAUACCAUAAGGAACACCGAUAGCGAAGGCAUUGUACUUACCAACAACUGACGCUGAGGCACGAAAGCGCGGGUAUCGAACAGGAUUAGAUACCCUGGUAGUCCGCGCCGUAAACGAUGAUCACUCGCUGUCAUGCCUAUAUCGUGUGGUGGCCAAGCNNAANCGUUAAGUGAUCCACCUGGGGAGUACGCCCGCAAGGGU
This 514-nucleotide ribosomal RNA is filed under the name uncultured bacterium. RNAcentral's name for it is "bacterial SSU rRNA". It matches the Rfam family "Bacterial small subunit ribosomal RNA", at positions 381 to 895 of the family's 1533-position model. The record is from RNAcentral.